RNAcentral lists this ribosomal RNA (497 nucleotides) under uncultured bacterium. RNAcentral's name for it is "partial 16S ribosomal RNA". It matches the Rfam family "Bacterial small subunit ribosomal RNA", at positions 28 to 507 of the family's 1533-position model. The record is from RNAcentral.
GAUGAACGCUGGCGGCGUGCCUAAUACAUGCAAGUCGAGCGAACAGACGAGGAGCUUGCUCCUCUGAUGUUAGCGGCGGACGGGUGAGUAACACGUGGAUAACCUACCUAUAAGACUGGGAUAACUUCGGGAAACCGGAGCUAAUACCGGAUAAUAUAUUGAACCGCAUGGUUCAAUAGUGAAAGACGGUUUUGCUGUCACUUAUAGAUGGAUCCGCGCCGCAUUAGCUAGUUGGUAAGGUAACGGCUUACCAAGGCAACGAUGCGUAGCCGACCUGAGAGGAUGAUCGGCCACACUGGAACUGAGACACGGUCCAGACUCCUACGGGAGGCAGCAGUAGGGAAUCUUCCGCAAUGGGCGAAAGCCUGACGGAGCAACGCCGCGUGAGUGAUGAAGGUCUUCGGAUCGUAAAACUCUGUUAUUAGGGAAGAACAAAUGUGUAAGUAACUAUGCACGUCUUGACGGUACCUAAUCAGAAAGCCACGGCUAACUACGUG